Molecule: ribosomal RNA, 427 nt
Filed under: uncultured bacterium
Lineage: Bacteria
Description: bacterial SSU rRNA
Rfam family: Bacterial small subunit ribosomal RNA
Source: RNAcentral
UGGGGAAUUUUGGACAAUGGGCGCAAGCCUGAUCCAGCAAUGCCGCGUGCAGGAUGAAGGCCUUCGGGUUGUAAACUGCUUUUGUACGGAGCGAAAAGGUCUGCCCUAAUACGGUGGGCUCAUGACGGUACCGUAAGAAUAAGCACCGGCUAACUACGUGCCAGCAGCCGCGGUAAUACGUAGGGUGCGAGCGUUAAUCGGAAUUACUGGGCGUAAAGCGUGCGCAGGCGGUUUUAUAAGACAGAUGUGAAAUCCCCGGGCUCAACCUGGGACCUGCAUUUGUGACUGUAUAGCUAGAGUACGGUAGAGGAGGAUGGAAUUACGCGUGUAGCAGUAAAGUGAGUAGAUAUGCGGCGGAACAGCAAUAGCGAAGGCAAUCCCAUGGAAAUGUACUGACGCUAAUGCACGAAAGCGUGAGGAGCAAACA